Molecule: long non-coding RNA, 261 nt
Filed under: Lathyrus oleraceus (garden pea)
Lineage: Eukaryota; Viridiplantae; Streptophyta; Magnoliopsida; Fabales; Fabaceae
Description: Pisum sativum (pea) long non-coding RNA (PSAT_LNC029724)
Source: RNAcentral
UCAGAGAUCACCAGGUCCAAGAACCAGAGGCGGAAGACAACCUUAGUUGUAGUUUCUUUUUCCUUUCCAUAUCGUAUUUCAUUUCCUUAAAACAUUGGGGACAAUGUUUAAUUUAAGUAUGGGGGAGAAAACUUGUUCUUUCAACCUUCUAUUUUUCAAGUAUGUUAUUUCCCCUUUCAUUGUUAUUUCCCUUCCUUAUUAUGAAAAAAAAAAAAUUAUUAUAAUAUAGAUUUAUUUUAAGUUAAGUCCCUAGUGUGAAAA